This 1397-nucleotide long non-coding RNA is filed under the name Paramuricea clavata. The record is from RNAcentral. Lineage: Eukaryota; Metazoa; Cnidaria; Anthozoa; Malacalcyonacea; Plexauridae.
GCCGAGCUCCUUAGGCUCAGAGCCAGCUCCGGGCUCCUCAGACUCGGAGCCUUGUCUAAAUUGCUUUCUCUCUUCCGAUAUAAGCUUCCUUAUUGUUGUGUUUUACUCAUUUGCUUCCAAACCGUCGAACAGAAAUGAUCAAUCUUCUAAGGCACAAGCCAUAUCUUGAAUUGUUGGGCACGUCCGAGCCUGAUCAACAACAAGCACUACUGGAAACAGCAACCGCCGAACAAGUACACUGCCUGUGUCUCUGUGUAGAAAACGUUAUGAAAAGAAAAUAUUUAAUGCCGAAGCAUGUGAUGAAGAAACUCCGACCUUACAAAAAUGAAAUGCUUAGGUUGGCAGAUAGAGGAAAAUGUGGAAGAAGAAAAAAACGGAUACUCGUUCAACGUGGUGAAGGUUUCCUUGGACUAUUACUAAGUCCUAUUUUGGAAAGCCUGGCUGAACUUGUAUAAAAGCCCUGUGACUACAAUUUAUACAUCAUUUCAACAAUGAACAUCGAGAGUAAAACAUCUCCGCGACAUUGGCGCAUUGAAGAUAUACUUUUGUAUCUCAACAAUAAUGUCAAAAAAGCUACAGCAGAAAAAAUUCUACAUUCUAUUCUUAUAUCAAGCGAUAUAUUAACUUGGAAUCCUCAGGGGGAGAUUGUUUAUCAUGGCAGAGACAUUGCUGGUACUAACAUCGAGAACCUUUUACAAUACGCACUUUUACCAUACAACUCUCACAUUCCUGAACCACGAGGGCUUGACCUGUUUACAAAAGGUUUAGUAGAAGCAGGGGUUAAUAAAGAUUUAAUUAAAAAUGAGCAUUUAUUGUCAAAAAUGGCAAAGGAGGAACAUGAAAUGCCACAAUCUGAGAGUGAUGUUGAAAGCGAAUCUGGUGAAGAGAACAGGGAAUCUGACAAGAGUGAUAAUGAAAGCGAAUAUGAUGAUAAUCAGGAUGAUGAUGGUGAUGAUAAUGAUGAUGAGUCCGAGAAACUAGCUUGUAACCAUUGUGGUGAAGAGACUGGUCACAUUGUAUACUUAAUGAAGUGCCCAAGAUGUUCGUGGAAAGAUUUCUACUGGGGCAAAGACGCUCAAUGUAUGAUAUGUGAUGAACAGUCACCUCUACUGUUUUCACAUGUCAUUGGUUUCUGCGAGCUAUGUUCGUAUGGUACGUCUAACACCAAGACGGGUGGAAUGGAGUUCACACCAAAAAUGGACAAAUAAAAUAUCCAGCAGAUUGGACCGAACGUGACCUAGCGCGAAUGACUCCGGAAGCACGAGAGGAUUAUGAACGUUUUAUAUUGAGCGACCGACCAAAAUAUAUUCCAAUGAAGCCGGAAAAACUUGCAAAGUCAUCCCCAGAAGAUAGACAAGAAUAUGAGAACUCUUUAAAAAUAACAAAAACACCUAGAC